RNAcentral lists this ribosomal RNA (440 nucleotides) under uncultured bacterium. RNAcentral describes it as "partial 16S ribosomal RNA". It matches the Rfam family "Bacterial small subunit ribosomal RNA", at positions 338 to 795 of the family's 1533-position model. The record is from RNAcentral.
CCUACGGGAGGCAGCAGUGGGGGAUAUUGCACAAUGGGGGAAACCCUGAUGCAGCGACGCCGCGUGUGGGACGACGGUCCUCUGGAUUGUAAACCACUGUCCCCAGGGACGAAGAUGACGGUACCUGGGGAGGAAGCUCCGGCUAACUACGUGCCAGCAGCCGCGGUAAUACGUAGGGAGCGAGGGUUGUGCGGAAUUACUGGGUGUAGGGGGAGCGUAGGCGGGACUGCAAGUUGGGUGAAAAAUCUACCGUCUCAACCGGUAGCCGCACUCAAAACUGCAGUUCUGGAGUGAAGUAGAGGCAGGCGGAAUUCCUAGUGUAGCGGUGAAAUGCGUAGAUAUUAGAAGGAACACCAGUGGCGAAGGCGGCCUGCUGGGCUUUUACUGACGCUGAGGCUCGAAAGUGUGGGGAGCAAACAGGAUUAGAUACCCCAGUAGUC